Molecule: long non-coding RNA, 337 nt
Organism: Hirundo rustica (Barn swallow)
Lineage: Eukaryota; Metazoa; Chordata; Aves; Passeriformes; Hirundinidae
Exons: 3
Source: RefSeq, a predicted model, not a curated record
CUGUAGAUCAGCUUUACAUUGAUGUGUUGUCUCCUGCUGAGGAGGGUUUUCUGUUCGUUUUGAAGGAAGAGCCAGCCAACCUGACCAACGGGGAAUCCUCUCCAUGAUGUAGCCUAGCUGGAACCCCUUGGAAGUGGAAGAAAAUUGGAGGGAGAGGUGGAAAAUAACAUCUGAAAUCCUGGUGUUGCCGAGAUUUCCCACACCUCAGCUGCGGUGAUUUCAAGGAUAAGCCAUGUAUCAAAAGUUGCAGAGCUUAAUGAAGAAGAGGGAAGAAGUGCAAUCUUUUUAGAUGCUUCUCCCUAACACUGAACAUCUGAGGACACCAGCUAUAACAUAC